Molecule: ribosomal RNA, 321 nt
Filed under: uncultured eukaryote
Lineage: Eukaryota
Description: partial 18S ribosomal RNA
Rfam family: Eukaryotic small subunit ribosomal RNA
Source: RNAcentral
CCCUUAGAUGUUCUGGGCCGCACGCGUGCUACACUGAGUGGAUCAGCGGGUCAGGUUGCGCGAAAGCGUUUCCUAAUCUUUAAAUCCGCUCGUGAUGGGGAUUGACGGUUGCAAUUUUCUGUCAUGAACGAGGAAUACCUUGUAAGCGCGGGUCAUCAUCCCGCGCUGAAUACGUCCUGCCCUUUGUACACACCGCCCGUCGCUCCUACCGAUUGAGUGGUCCGGUGAGGCUUUGGGAUCUGAGCGGAAAGAGCGUUUCGCUGUUUCUGCUCGGAAAACUCAGUCGAACCUUAUCAUUUAGAGGAAGGAGAAGUCGUAACA